UAAAAGCUACAGCAUCUCAGACUGCUGGAGCCUUGUGAUGAGUUUCGCUGGGACAGUCUGUCUCAUGUUUGGAAAUGGGACUGGAAAUUUAGUUCAUGCAGCGAUACACAACUGUCUGCCAAAGGUUGCAGUCAGCAGACGGUUGGACCUGGGAGCACGGUCUGUCACUUUCCGAUGACAUUUUCCCUGUUUUAGCGCCAUAGUGUGAGAGAGGAAAGAGGUCUCACAGGUAGAACACGUUAAAGCAAAGACUGCACCCUGUGUUGCCCGCCAGCCGAAAGAGGCCGCAGUGGAAGCCCUGUCGCUGGGGACCUGAGACGGCCCUAUGGGAGCACGUGAGCCAGUGAUGAUCAGAGUUUACCAUGUGGAUUGAAGCUGUCUGGCAUGGAGCAGUUGCAGAAAGUCACGUGGAGUGGUCACUGUGCUCAGAAAGUGGGCAUCAAACAAAGGCUGCCAUCCUGCGUCUCCUGGAGGCUGCACCUCUGCAUCUCUCAGAGUUAGCACGUGAAACCCUGUGUCCUGAUGUUAGUGUGGCAGCACCAGAAGUUGGGGUUUCUGGGGAUAAUCAGGAGACACACCCUUGGAGCCUGCUGUGGCUUGAAUAGGGUUUGCCCUUCCUGAAACUCAGGCUGAGGUUUGAGUCCUCAGGGCGUCUGUGUCAGGAGCUGGGGCUUAGGGAGGUGUUUGGGUCACAGGAGCAAAGCCUCACAAGUGGAUGCAUGUCACGCUUCUCCUGUGCGAGUGAGUACUGCUCUUGUGGGGCUGGGCUGGCAGCUGCCGGGCAGCUGGGUGUGCAGCGAGCCCAGCCCUCUUGUUCACACUGUUCUUCACAGCUCCCACUUUCUGUCUUUCCACUUUCUGUAGUGAGCUGACCCCGCAAAGAGACUCUCACCACAUGUGGUCACCUGAGCUUGAAUGUCACAGCUACCAGAACCAUGAGCUGAAUUAACCUCUUUGCUUUGUAUAAUACACAUUCUCACGUAUCCUGUAAUAGUAACAGAAAACAGAUGAAGACAGUUCUCAUAUAAAAGGAGCCCCUGAAAGCUGCCUUGGCCCUUCUACAAGGCAGGAACACAGCACAGAUUCACUGUCUAUGAUCCAGAGAGAGUGCUCUCACCAGGGCGCGGAACUGCCCUACGGUAGAAUGUCUACCUUCCAGCACAGUGGGAUAUCAACUUCUGUUGUCUAUAAGCCAUCCUUUUAAGGGCAUUGGGUCACAGUAGCCUCAAUGAAUAAGGACAUCUUUUCCCCUCUUCUCAUUUGCAAAAGUUGUAGUAAUUUUUAGUUUGUGAAUUUCCAACAAAUGAAUGAAUGAUAGCUGAUCUACGAUCCUGCCAUAUUAGCACAGAAAGUUUAAAUAUCUCUAAGGAUUAUAAGAUAUAGAAAACAAAACAACACACAAAAGAACUGGGCCAGUUAUAGGAAGAUCAUGCUUUAAGACUGUCUGGUAAAUAUAGAGCAAACUGUUCCGUUUUUUUCCUAAAGUUCAUACUUACACAGGGCAUUAACAAUGGUGUAACUACUGGACUGUCAUUACUAAGUGGGGACACCUUCAGACAGAGGGAGGUGUUGGCAAAACGUGAUUGAUUUACAAACAUUCAGCUAAAAUAUUUCAAGGUAAUUUCUGUGAACAGAGCAAAGGCACGACAGUCCAAGAACGAUGCCUGUGUUGCUGGCGGUAAGGAACUACUGGUGCUUAGGAAUGCUGGCGUUCCCUUGUUUCUUACCAAAGCGCUUUUAUUGUUGGCUUCAGAUCACAGGAAAUUUCCCUCAGGUUCUAGAUUAGCAACUCCCUUUCACACAUUGCAAUUCAAUUGUUUCUGACCUGCAAUUGAUCGAAAAACCCAAUUGCAUUCACUAAGAUUCUGUACGACAGCUCUUUGCCAUGUAGUUCCCAUUUCUCAGUACGUUUCCAUAGGAAUCCCCGACACGGAAUAUAAUCUGCACAAAUGGACAAAGUUGAGUCCCAUCUAAGGUCCAAAAUCGUUUCAUUAGACAUCCUGAGGAAGAUGACUUUGCCUUGGUUGGUUUUAAUGGCCUGUCAACUUGGUUCUUGAAUUAGCGUGAUUUUAAGAAUGAAAGCAAUACACCCUCAUCUAUCUCAGUAUCUGUCUUAACUUACUAUAAAUCAAAUGGCCAGUCGCUGAAUUUAGAGCCCAGCAGCUGACCUGGGUGAAGUCCCAGCCUUGCCCCUGCAGGCUGUUUUCUGGCUCUUAGUGAAUGCCUUACCAAGCUGCCAUCCUGCAGCUUUAAACUCACCCUUCUCCACUGCACCCGUCAGGCUGAGACCUUUGCAGGUGGAGCUUUGCAGGUGGCUCAUGUGCUUUGCUUGUCGCGCCAGCCAGGCCGCUCUGCCAACGGGGAUGGACAGCAGGAGACCAGACAGUGGGCCAGCGGGAAGACACACUCCACUUUACUCAUCCAACCACAUUCUAGUCCAAGCUUCCUCCACCUUUUACCCACAUGCCUGUGCAGGCCCCAAACCAGCUCCAGUACCCUCAAAGAUGCCAGCACCUCCUUUUCUGAGAUUCAGGGUCCCACCUUCAUGGCUGCAAAGGCAGCCACAAAGUGGGUCUGACGCCUGCACCUCCUCAUCUACUUUUCUAAAUCCUAAUCAUCUCGAGCUCUUCACUUGGCAUCUCUAAUUCUAGAGAUGUAGAGGAUUUCAGCAUGUUCUCUCUCUAGGCUAUGAGCCUCUUCACCUGUUUCUAUUUCAUGUUUAACUGAUUCCUAAUAUUACAUUUUCUCUGCUAUCUGACUGUGUGAUUUCUGUUUUCCUAAGUGGACCAGGGCCCAUGCUUUUACUUGAGUAAAACAGAGGCGAGAGACCUGCUAUGGGUCGAAAUGCUUUGCUUCCUCCCUAAUCCCUAGCACCUGAGAAUGUGAGCGUCUUUGGAAAUAGCAUCACUGUAGGGGUAAUGGGAUGAGAUGCAUCGUACCGGAGUAGAGGAGGCUCUGAAUCUAGUGACCACUGUUUGCAUAAGCGUAGGAGAAAAGGCAUUCUAAUGACAGAAACAGACUCCAGCAGCCAAGCAGUGUUGAGAGCAGCCAGCGGUCACCAGAAGCUAGAACAUGGCACGGGACUGAUGCUGCCUCUGAGUUCUCAGAAGGACUUAGCCCUGCACAGACCUUGAUUUUGGGAACUGUUAGAGAAUAAACACCUGUGGCUUCAAGUCACACAGUGGUUACAGGUACCUUAGGCAAUCCCUGAUGAGUUGCUUGUGUGAUGAAUGACUGCAAAGUUGCAAUGGGAAGCAGAAAUACCAAAACAACAUCCAGGAUUGGGAGGCAGGUUUAUUUAUGUUGAUGGGCAUUGAUUGGGGUCACUCCCAGAAUAUCAGGUUCUGAUUUCUGGUGGUCCAGGGUUUAUAUGAGAUAAGCAAGCAGGAAGUACAGAGACAGAGUGGCUUGUCAGUGGGGGACUGGUUUACACAGUGUGCAUCACAGUGGCCAGCUGUUGCUAAGAGACAAGAGCAACUGGACUGGGACAGGAACUAUUACCUGCGCAGCUAAGAAGCUGAAGCAUGCUGCUGUGAGACGGAUGCUAGAAAUAGAUGAGGGUGUACUGCUUUCAUUCUUAAAAUCACCCUAGUUCAAGAACCAACCCUGGAAGAAGUAUUCUGCUCCACAGUGACCUGCUUGGGACCUGAUGCCUAUAAGUUAUCAGUAAGAGGAACUGUUCUCAUAGCCUUACCUGACCUCCAACAAAGCCUGUGACAGAGUCACAUGCCAAGGCUGACCGGGUCGCCUCCUUAAUGGCUCAUAAGCAGAGGACCUGACUCAAGGACUCCCAGCUCCUGAGUUGCUAUAGGAUUGGCGCAAGUUCUUGUGACCCUGAGGGACCCCACUUCUCCUUUAUCCUCUAUGUGUCCACUUCCCCUUCCUCUGAGGCUGUCCCCAACUACCUGGGCAUGCACAGCUCUGAGUCUGGUCCCUAUGAGCCUGCUCUGUGCUACUCUGAGGUAAAUAGAAGCCUUGUGUUGGAGUUUUACAAAGCACAAUUUGCAUACAUAUGGAACUGAUGGGGAAAUAAUGGAGUCCAUAAAAAUUCGUGAGAUUUAAAAUAAUUGUUCUGUAGCCUGCUGGCUUAACCUUAUCAGGUAUUCAUGGGAACAAGAUGAUGACCUCUUUUGUCUAGGUGGCCCCUAUGUCAGAAGCAAUAAAAAUGCUAUUUAAGAAACACAGCAGGUCCCAGGUUAUGGUCUCUGGCUGGCUUAAAUGUCACCUUCCCAAUCCUAGAUCUCUCUGGCAGCGGUCUCAGGUCAAAUAUAAUAUUUACCAGUCUGAGAACUUGUAACACAAGGAUUUUUGAUGCAAUGAAAUAAAUGUGGCUUGAUGCAAAAAAGAUGCUAUUCUAUCUGGACACCCAGAAUUCUCUGUCAAUAGUGCAAGACAGUCAAUUCUAAGACACAAAUAAUUAAAACAUCUGUGAGUUUAUUGCUUUAUAGGUUCCAUUUGUAUGUUCCAUUUUAAAGCUGCAUUUAAAGUUGUUUGUGAUAAGAACAAAGAUUUGAAUGCUCAGGGUUCCAGAUUUCCUCUUUAAUGAAAUAAUCGCAUUCUGCUGCAUAUCCUGGGCUCAUUUACAUGGUAAUCACAGGUACAAUGCCGGCACUCCCAUCACAAGUCAGUACAGCAAUCUCUGCCUCUCAGGAGGAAGCGUAGGUGUUCACUGCUUACCAUACAGAUGGGCUCUGGAGGGAGGCGCCCACGGGUGUUGUAAUUAUCAUAGACGGGAGCAGGGGACCGGCAAAUGUUCUUGCCUUUCAUCGUCUUCGAGAAGGGCAAGUUAGAAACGAGUGUUAGGGGUAGAGUACAGGCUACAGGCUUCUGUAACAUCAACCUGAAUUCCUAUGUGAUGGUUGUACUUACUAGCAAAGGUACGAAUACACUGUGAUAAAGGCAUGAACUCACUAAUGUUCUGAAAUGCUUCUGCGUGAUGCAGUGUCUAUGCAUUUUGCAAACAUGGACCCUGGCUCUGCCCCGCAUUCUGAGGCCUGCAGUUGGCAAACAGGGAGGAAGAGGACCUGGUCUCCUAUCCUGGCUGUCGUGCUGAUUGGCUGUGUGACCUUGGAGGACUCGGCCUUCUGGUGUUUCUGCUUUUCUUCUGUAAAGCAGUGUGAAUUCAGGAGAUCUGUUUGUGUCAGCGUGCCCUCUCACGCAUCUCCUCCAAAAGGUGCCCGAUCUUUUGCACACAGUGAUUCUGCAGCUCUGAAGCACAGUUUCUACCUGCCUUGUGUGUUGAGUCCUGGCUCUACCAUCUCUGUGAGGGAACAGCUAAUGGACCUAUCAGCUCCUGUGAACAUUGAAUUAUCCAAGGACGCUGCUGCCCAUGCAGCAAUAAUGGCCAGUGUCUGAGCGCCACAGGUGCCCUCAGCCCAUAACUCCUAGGCUUGGCCGCUGGUCAUUGACAAGGUCAUUAAUCAUCUGUCCCGUGUCUGCCCUUCCUGGACCUCCUCUGGGGGCUGACUGUGUUCUUCUGCUAUUUCUUUUCUGCUACAUGCACUCAUUUAAGUACCAAAAUGAAUUCCAUUGCCCUCUUGGAGUUCAUGCCGCGGCCCAAUUUUUUGCUGUGGAACAGAGGCAGGUAGCUCUUCUCCUGAUUUCCCUGAUGGAGGCUGUAGGUCUUGUAUAGACCCAAAUUGUACGGAGCCAGGAGCAUAAGACAGUCCCAGGCCCACAGUGUGCUGUAGGGCAUUAGAUUUCAUGAUGAGAAUGCGCCCUGAUCAUCUGGUUUUUACCAACGCUAAAGAUGUACAGAGAAUUCCUAGAAGUAAUUCCCAAUUCCUUGACAAAAUUCACAUGUAGCAACGUAAGAGAUGCUGUGAUUCUACAUUUUCUUUUUAAAGUCAUGUGUAUUUGGACUAAACUUAUUUUUAUUUGUAUAAACUUUGUUUCAUGAAAAUUGUAUGUUGAUGAUUGUGAUGAUCAGGAGCUUAUUAUUCACAUGGAAUUUAUCUUCUUCCACUGAGCAUUCUCUUCUUGGGCACCGGUCCAUCAAGUUGAAUUUUACACAGCUACUGUUUCCUUCCCUUUCUAAAUAGUGUAUUUGUGUGAUACAUGAAGCACGUUCCGCAGGCUCCUGGCACUCAUCCGCAUGGCAGCUCAGUCCUGUGACUGCCCUUCCUUCUCUUCCCCCAGCUAAUUUCUUGACAAAGUUUUGUUAACUUUGUAAAUUACUUAUUCACAAACUGCAUCACGUGAGUGCUCAGCCUUCACCAUGCUUCCUAAACAGUAACAGCAGCAGUGACACUGGCAGUGGUAUUUUUAAGUUGAAUCAUUAAUUUUGGAGGGAUUUUUGCUAAUUCACGGGACAAUUAAGACAGUUUUUUUAAGGGGUUACAGAGCUACUUUAUUAAGCAGGUUUGGCAAUUUUGUCAUUAUUGUCUCAUAUUUUUGAAGUCCAUCUAGAAAAUUAUUAAAAACAUACAAUAUCAUUUUAAGUGCAUAGGCUGUGAUGAAAUACCUAGGGAUAAAUUUAACAAACUAUUUGAAUUCAUUGUGUUCCAAAGUUUCCAAACUAACUUGUUGAGAGGAAAAAAGAAGACAAGGCACAAACUAUGCCUAUGGAGAGAAAACUCAAUAUUGCUGGGACAUUCCUCCAAACUGAGCUACAGCAUUUGUGCACCAUAUAUAUUAUAUAAAUUAAUAUAUAUUAAUUACAAUAGCAUAAAAUUCUUAGAUCACUUAAGGGAGAUUGUAUAGAUUGUCUAAUCCCUAAUUAUUUAAAAUUUCCACUAGUAAUUUUGUAGUUUUCUGUGUAAAGGUUUUACGAUUUGGUAUUUUCAGAAUCAUUGUGAACCAUAUAUCUUAAAAUUUUAAUUUUCUAAUCAUCUAUUAUUACUGUAGUAUCAGGCAAACUUAAAUAUAUGUGUUAAUUUUGAUACUGUUGUUUUAGACAUUUUUAAAUUUUAAAAAGUAAUCAUGCCCUGGAAUAAAGGACAGCUUUUUUCCCCUUCAAUCAUUGCAUUUAAGUAUUUUUUGUUUCUUUGCUUAGUGAUCCAGAAUUAAUGUCAAAUAGCUAACAGAUGUGAUUGUCAGGAUUCAGGUCUAAGGUGUUCCCCAGUGCCUAGUUGUGUGGAAGGCUUCCUCCCUGAGGCAGAGCUCUGGCCAGUGAUCAGAGCACAGCCUUCUCAAAGGCUUUAUCCACCAACCCCUUAGUGCAUGGAAUCCAUCCUUAGUAAGGGGGUGUGGCCUUGAGGGCUGCUCUCCAGUCCCCAGUCCCUUCUCCUCUGCCUGUCCCACUCUCUGGCUGCUGGCUGACACCAGGGGAGCCGCUUUUUCCUGCCACGCAUGUCCCGUGAUGCUCACGGUGGAGCGAGACAGCUAUAGGCUGACACCUCUGAAUCCAUGAGUCAAAAUAAACCCUCCUCCUUUAAAGUUUCGUUGUUGGGCAUUUUAUACAGACUCACAGAAUAACAGUAAACCUCAUGGACUUUUUCCUGACCAAAAGGAAAAGGCUUUCAAUGUUUGACAUGAAGAAUGGGUGUGUACUAUAAGCAUGUUGUGGAUAAACUUUAUCAGAUUAAGCAAUAUUCCAA
Molecule: long non-coding RNA, 7538 nt
Organism: Cavia porcellus (domestic guinea pig)
Lineage: Eukaryota; Metazoa; Chordata; Mammalia; Rodentia; Caviidae
Exons: 2
Source: RefSeq, a predicted model, not a curated record